AGUAACUGCAUUUACAGAUACAUUAUUUUAUGUAUUUUCCUCAACUUUUUGUUCCACUAUUCAUCAGAGAAAGUCUGAAGACAUAUGGUGGACAAUUUUACAUACUGAAAGAAUUGGUAGAACUUUAAAGAACUUCAAAAAAUAAAAAUAAAAUGCCAGGAAAUAUUAUGAGUCAUCUGGUUUUUCCCUGUCUGUCCAAAAAGAAAGAAAGAAAAAGAAACAUAAUUAAAACCAUUCCGCCAGCUUGACUACAAAUCUUAUACCAUGUCAAGAAGUAGAAUCCACAAAGCUUAUGUGUCCUAUAUUAGAUUGUUUUGGACGAAACGAGGAGAGUACAGGCUACCCAGAAGAUCAUUGUUUGUGUCCUAUUUUGCACUUCUGCUCACUCACUAAAUUGUUUCUUUUGCACCCUUUUUUUUUUUAAACUUUUGCUUUCAGUCACUGAUUAGAUUAAGACAUUAAAAAGUACUUGGUUAGGUUUAGUAGAUCAUUUAGGUUGAAAUGUAAGCCUUCAUCAUUCUUCAAGCUGACAAACCACACAUUCAAAAUGUGACUCCAAGGGAUUUUUUUAAUGUCUCUACGUGUGGUGAACUAUGAACACCAAUGUGUGCCUGUGCAUUUCUGUGAGAUGCCAGUUGCUUUGUUAGAACAGCACUAUAUAACACCCCUGAAAUGACAAUGGGCUGUUAUAUGAAAAUUAUCAAAACACCAAAUUUGGAAAUGGAUUUUAAAGAAUUUUUCUCAUCCUUCCAAAAGAGAAUUCAAAGAAUGCUUGAACAACACUGUAAUAAAUCCCAAGUUCUAUUGUUUAUGCACCAAUCUGUAUACAUAACUUAAAUGUAUUUUGAUGGGGUUUUUUUUGUUUGUUUGUUUUUUUGCCUGUCCCGUUUGGCUCUUUUGCCAUCAGAAUUGUUGUCUAAAGGCAAAGAAAGAUGCCCAACGGAUUUACUUUACCAAACUGACCAUCCCAGCCUUGCCGUAAUGGUCCAUUUGAUUCACCUUUUAUUGUUUAUUUUAUUUUCAUUUACUGAAUACGGGACAGACUUGACUGGGGGAAAGAAGGGGAGAAAGAAAGAGGGAAAGAGAAACAGCUGAGAAGAGGGACGGGGGAGAAGGGCAAAAAACAAAAACCAACAGAAUGAGCAGAAAAAAAAGAAAAGAAAAAAAAAGAAAGAAAAAAUGCAUAUAUCGAUCACCUGGGUCACCUGCUGAGAAAGAAAAAAGAAAACAAGCAGAAGAGAACAAGAGUAAUAGAAUAAACAACAUCACAAUGAUAUAUGGGAAUAUGACAGUAAAUACUAAAUAUUAAACAUUAUUGUGCAGCACAUAAGAUCAACAGAACACAGUGUGCUUUGAGGUAGGAGCCAAAAAGGGUGUAGUUUGUGGGUGUGAUCACCCGUGUGUACACCUGUGAGCAUGGACGCGCUUGUUUUUUGUUUUUAAAAGGUUCCUUCAUGUAAUGAUCUGCUAGAGGGUGUGGGGGGGCCACAGCCCCGUCCUCCAGGGCAUGAAGCAGGUAUGGAGGAGAUCAAAACUCCAGACAUCCAGAGGCCCCCAGAACACAAUGUAUUUUGAUGUUAAUGUACACUAGUGAACUGUGUUUUGGUUCCAGUGUAAUGGGAUCAUGAUAAAUGCAAUACAUCUAAAAGUUAGACCACUAAAACGUUUGAGCUCAUUUAUUGUUACUGCAAGGGACUGAACAAAUAUACAUACUCGGAAAGAAACUGUAACAUACAAAAUGUAUGAGGUUUCUGCAGUAGUUUUUUA
Astatotilapia calliptera (eastern happy) is the source of this 1767-nucleotide long non-coding RNA. The record is from Ensembl. Lineage: Eukaryota; Metazoa; Chordata; Actinopteri; Cichliformes; Cichlidae.